Molecule: ribosomal RNA, 696 nt
Filed under: uncultured Termite group 1 bacterium
Lineage: Bacteria; Pseudomonadati; Elusimicrobiota
Description: bacterial SSU rRNA
Rfam family: Bacterial small subunit ribosomal RNA
Source: RNAcentral
GCGGGCUGGAGUGUGGUACAGGAACUGGAAUGCCGGUGUAGCGGUGAAAUGCGUAGAGAUCGGGAGGAAUACCUAAGGCGAAAGCAGGCUUCUGGGCCAUCACUGACGCUGAUCUGCGAAAGCUAGGGGAGCAAACAGGAUUAGAUACCCUGGUAGUCCUAGCCCUAAACGAUGCUCAUUAGAUGUGGGAGGUAUCGACCCUUCCGCGUCGAAGCUAACGCAUUAAAUGAGCCGCCUGGGGAGUACGGCCGCAAGGUUGCAAACUCAAAGGAAUUGACGGGGGCCCGCACAAGCGGUGGAGCAUGUGGUUUAAUUCGACGCGACGCGAAGAACCUUACCUGGGCUUGAACUACUGGUGGUAAGUCCUUGGAAACAGGGGCUGACCCGCAAGGGAGCCAGCAGAGGUGCUGCAUGGUUGUCGUCAGCUCGUGUCGUGAGAUGUUGGGUUAAGUCCCGCAACGAGCGCAACCCCUAUCUCAUGUUGCCAUCCCCGCAAGGGGGGCACUCUUGAGAAACUGCCUUCGAUAAGAAGGAGGAAGGUGGGGACGACGUCAAAUCCUCAUGGCCCUUAUGUCCAGGGCUACACACGUGCUACAAUGGCCGGUACAACGGGAAGCAAGGCCGCAAGGCGGAGCCAAACCCUAAAAGCCGGCCCCAGUUCAGAUCGUGGGCUGCAACUCGCCCGCGUGAAGGCGG